AACGCGAAGAACCUUACCUGGGCUCGAAAUGCUGUGGACCAGCUUAUGAAAGUAGGCCUUCCCGCAAGGGACCGCAGUAUAGGUGCUGCAUGGCUGUCGUCAGCUCGUGUCGUGAGAUGUUGGGUUAAGUCCCGCAACGAGCGCAACCCUUGUCCUGUGUUGCCAUACUGUUAAAAGUGGAACUCGCAGGAGACCGCCAGGGAUAACCUGGAGGAAGGUGGGGAUGACGUCAAGUCCUCAUGGCCUUUAUGUCCAGGGCUACACACGUGCUACAAUGGACGGUACAAAGGGCUGCCAACCCGCGAGGGGGAGCCAAUCCCAAAAAACCGUUCUCAGUUCGGAUUGCAGGCUGCAACUCGCCUGCAUGAAGCUGGAAUCGCUAGUAAUGGCGGAUCAGAACGCCGCCGUGAAUACGUUCCCGGGCCUUGUACACACCGCUAGUC
Molecule: ribosomal RNA, 443 nt
Filed under: uncultured bacterium
Lineage: Bacteria
Description: bacterial SSU rRNA
Rfam family: Bacterial small subunit ribosomal RNA
Source: RNAcentral